UUGGAUCAUGGCUCAGGACGAACGCUGGCGGCGUGCUUAACACAUGCAAGUCGAACGAUGAUGCCCAGCUUGCUGGGCGGAUUAGUGGCGAACGGGUGAGUAACACGUGGGUGAUCUGCCCUGCACUUCGGGAUAAGCCUGGGAAACUGGGUCUAAUACCGGAUAUGACCACAGGAUGCAUGUUUUGUGGUGGAAAGGUUUACUGGUGCAGGAUGAGCCCGCGGCCUAUCAGCUUGUUGGUGGGGUAAUGGCCUACCAAGGCGACGACGGGUAGCCGGCCUGAGAGGGCGACCGGCCACACUGGGACUGAGACACGGCCCAGACUCCUACGGGAGGCAGCAGUGGGGAAUAUUGCACAAUGGGCGAAAGCCUGAUGCAGCGACGCCGCGUGAGGGAUGACGGCCUUCGGGUUGUAAACCUCUUUCAGCAGGGACGAAGCGCAAGUGACUGUACCUGCAGAAGAAGCACCGGCUAACUACGUGCCAGCAGCCGCGGUAAUACGUAGGGUGCGAGCGUUGUCCGGAAUUACUGGGCGUAAAGAGUUCGUAGGCGGUUUGUCGCGUCGUGUGUGAAAUCCCGCAGCUCAACUGCGGGCUUGCAGGCGAUACGGGCAGACUUGAGUACUGCAGGGGAGACUGGAAUUCCUGGUGUAGCGGUGAAAUGCGCAGAUAUCAGGAGGAACACCGGUGGCGAAGGCGGGUCUCUGGGCAGUAACUGACGCUGAGGAACGAAAGCGUGGGUAGCGAACAGGAUUAGAUACCCUGGUAGUCCACGCCGUAAACGGUGGGCGCUAGGUGUGGGUUUCCUUCCACGGGAUCCGUGCCGUAGCUAACGCAUAAGC
Molecule: ribosomal RNA, 841 nt
Filed under: Rhodococcus coprophilus
Lineage: Bacteria; Bacillati; Actinomycetota; Actinomycetes; Mycobacteriales; Nocardiaceae
Description: bacterial SSU rRNA
Rfam family: Bacterial small subunit ribosomal RNA
Source: RNAcentral